RNAcentral lists this ribosomal RNA (1466 nucleotides) under Triticum aestivum (bread wheat). RNAcentral describes it as "partial small subunit ribosomal RNA". Lineage: Eukaryota; Viridiplantae; Streptophyta; Magnoliopsida; Poales; Poaceae. The record is from RNAcentral.
UGGCGCCCAGCCGCGUUUUGAGAACCGUCCGCGUGGGAGACCGGCGGCGGCUGCUGCUGCUCGUGCUGUAGAGUCCAUUCCUUCCCUCCGCCCUUACCGCCUAGUCUUCCACCGAGUCAACCCCGGACCUCGACGCACGACGCCGACCUUGGUGACGCCGGCCGCGGAUCGGCGGCCGCGGCAGCUACCCAGGCAAAGGCAGAUGCUAAGAGUCGGCAGAGGGAGGAGGUUCACCGUCCGGGUACUCGUACGGUAUCACCGACAGCAGACCGAAGGAGGCCUGAUGCCACUACGAUAUCGAACACAGACACGACUGCCAUGUGACAGAAACACCCUCCUCUAACGACUUCUACUAGUUGAAGGUUAGACCUCUUUUACAUUUCAGAAACUCCCACCGUCAAGGGUGUAGGAUUAACAUGUCAAACCAAACGACGACAGUUCAGACUUUUACCAAUAACGUAUGAGUCUACCAGUUCACUUUCAGAUACUUGAAAACCUAAGCAACCUUAACCUGUUCACCGUCGAAGUCCGUCUCGAUGUCUUAUAAUAGCUAGGACAAAGGUCUUAACCCUUCGGUCGUACGUAAAGACGUAGUUAACGUACCUCAGGUUCUUCUCCACUUCCGGUCGUCCGAUCAAAACGAUAACCAAAGUUAAGCCUAAGAGGUUUGAAAUUGAGAACGUUCUAAACCCUCAAACUUCUUCGAGUGGUCGCGACCGAAGGUGAAUAACUUGAACCAAGUGGCCUCCUAUUCCCCCUCUCUCAUGUACGAGAUCGUACCCGAGGAUUGUAACCGUCUGGUAUACUCUACUAUCGUCAACGUUGGACGUUUCCAUAUCGUCACACCGUACAUCCGAAGUUGGGACUUAGACUGCCGUCUGACAGUUGUCUCUUACAACGACAUGAAGGACCGGUGUUACCCCUCCAUACGGUUGACCUUACCCUGUACCCGCCAUACUGCGAGCGUAGCUGGCCUCACCUACCGUACCAAUCCGAUACCGUUCGGUUGAAUUUACCUCAAACCGUACUCGUCCGACACGAACUGACGUUACCCAGUGUGGUCAUUCCCGACAAGUGUUGUUUAUCCUAGGGUUUAACGUCCGUGUUUCACUUGAAUUUACGGGAUUAUCGAGAAGUUGUACUUCUAUCCUAGGGUUUAACACCAACGAUAGACAAGUGUUAAGACGUUCCAAAGAAAUACAACAGAACACACCUUCCAUAUCGCGUACGUACCAACCGAAACGGGACUGUUUUGAUCCGAGGAGUUGGUACUUACGUACUACAUGGACAAUAGGAAUAGACCAACUACUACAUCGACAAGAAAUACCGGUACACUACCUUUUUUAAACCUAGUGUCAACUACUACAUAGACAAGAGAACAUUUGUUAAAUCGGACGACUGAUUGAAAUAAAAUAAGUUGACAGUUGUUUAGUCAAGUGUCAAAGGAACUUUAUCACAAGCCACAG